GCUUGUCUCAAAGAUUAAGCCAUGCAUGUCUAAGUACAAGCCUCAGUAAGGUGAAACCGCGAAUGGCUCAUUAAAUCACACCUAAUCUACUGGAAAGUUACUAGUUACUUGGAUAACUGAGGUAAUUCUUGAGCUAAUACAUGCGAAAAAUCUCGACUCACGGAGAGAUGCUUUUAUUAGAUCAAAACCAAUCGGCUUCGGCUGUCUGAGGUGAAUCAUAAUAACUUUGCGAAUCGCAUGGCCUUGUGCCGGCGAUGAAUCAUUCAAAUUUCUGCCCUAUCAACUUUCGAUGGUAAGGUAUUGGCUUACCAUGGUUGCAACGGGUAACGGAGAAUUAGGGUUCGAUUCCGGAGAGGGCGCCUGAGAAAUGGCGACCACAUCCAAGGAAGGCAGCAGG
Molecule: ribosomal RNA, 397 nt
Filed under: uncultured fungus
Lineage: Eukaryota; Fungi
Description: partial small subunit ribosomal RNA
Rfam family: Eukaryotic small subunit ribosomal RNA
Source: RNAcentral